Molecule: ribosomal RNA, 590 nt
Filed under: Salmonella enterica
Lineage: Bacteria; Pseudomonadati; Pseudomonadota; Gammaproteobacteria; Enterobacterales; Enterobacteriaceae
Description: partial 23S ribosomal RNA
Rfam family: Bacterial large subunit ribosomal RNA
Source: RNAcentral
UAAUCCGGGUUGCGGACAGUGUCUGGUGGGUAGUUUGACUGGGGCGGUCUCCUCCUAAAGAGUAACGGAGGAGCACGAAGGUUGGCUAAUCCUGGUCGGACAUCAGGAGGUUAGUGCAAUGGCAUAAGCCAGCUUGACUGCGAGCGUGACGGCGCGAGCAGGUGCGAAAGCAGGUCAUAGUGAUCCGGUGGUUCUGAAUGGAAGGGCCAUCGCUCAACGGAUAAAAGGUACUCCGGGGAUAACAGGCUGAUACCGCCCAAGAGUUCAUAUCGACGGCGGUGUUUGGCACCUCGAUGUCGGCUCAUCACAUCCUGGGGCUGAAGUAGGUCCCAAGGGUAUGGCUGUUCGCCAUUUAAAGUGGUACGCGAGCUGGGUUUAGAACGUCGUGAGACAGUUCGGUCCCUAUCUGCCGUGGGCGCUGGAGAACUGAGGGGGGCUGCUCCUAGUACGAGAGGACCGGAGUGGACGCAUCACUGGUGUUCGGGUUGUCAUGCCAAUGGCACUGCCCGGUAGCUAAAUGCGGAAGAGAUAAGUGCUGAAAGCAUCUAAGCACGAAACUUGCCCCGAGAUGAGUUCUCCCUGAGACUUAG